GCAGUAGGGAAUAUUGGGCAAUGGGCGAGAGCCUGACCCAGCCAUGCCGCGUGCAGGAAGAAGGCUUUCUGAGUCGUAAACUGCUUUUGACAGGGAAGAAUAAGCGCUACGUGUAGCGUGAUGACGGUACCUGCAGAAUAAGCACCGGCUAACUCCGUGCCAGCAGCCGCGGUAAUACGGAGGGUGCGAGCGUUGUCCGGAUUUAUUGGGUUUAAAGGGUGCGUAGGCGGCCCGUUAAGUCCGGGGUGAAAGCCCGUUGCUCAACAACGGAACUGCCCUGGAUACUGACGGGCUUGAGUACAGACGAGGUUGGCGGAAUGGACAGAGUAGCGGUGAAAUGCAUAGAUACUGUCCAGAACCCCGAUUGCGAAGGCAGCUGACUAGGCUGUUACUGACGCUGAGGCACGACAGCGUGGGGAGCGAACAGGAUUAGA
Molecule: ribosomal RNA, 434 nt
Filed under: uncultured bacterium
Lineage: Bacteria
Description: bacterial SSU rRNA
Rfam family: Bacterial small subunit ribosomal RNA
Source: RNAcentral